Molecule: RNA transcript, 3408 nt
Organism: Oncorhynchus gorbuscha (pink salmon)
Lineage: Eukaryota; Metazoa; Chordata; Actinopteri; Salmoniformes; Salmonidae
Gene name: proto-oncogene tyrosine-protein kinase Src-like
Exons: 14
Source: RefSeq, a predicted model, not a curated record
CGCACUCCACCUGUACCCCGCUCCCCCUCUCCCUCCAUUGUCUUUGCACAGCAAUGGAGGAGAGAAGAUUAGAUGGGACAGGCCAAUAAAACCUUGUUUUCUGGAGAGCUGAGGACUCUGGGACUGCGGAGACAGACACUACCAUCUCCUUUGGAGCUUUUUUUUUAUCAUCCUUUAACGGGGACCAAGAGACGACGUCAAGGCCUGCUGAUGGGGGCGGGCAAGAGCAAGCCCAAGGAGCCAGGCCAGCGCUCACUGAGUCUCGAUGGCACCAUUGGCACGGGCUCGGACAGUGGGCACCACCACCACCUCAACUCGACCCAGCAGACCCAGACCCCCAACAGGAGUCCCGCCGUAGGGGGCAGCAGACAUGGCCACCACCCCGGGAAUGCUCCCACCAACACCCCUGAGCUGGCGCUGUUCGGUGGAGUAGACCACGCGGGUGGUAUCACCUCCCCUCACAGAGGACCACUGGCAGGAGGUGUCACUACAUUUGUGGCACUCUAUGACUAUGAAUCACGGACUGCCUCAGACCUGACCUUCAAGAAAGGCGAGCGGCUGCAGAUCAUCAACAACACGAGAAAGUACAGCUUCAGGGAAGGGGACUGGUGGCUGGCUCGGUCUCUGACUACCGGAGAAAGCGGUUACAUCCCCAGCAACUAUGUGGCCCCCUCUGACUCCAUUCAAGCAGAAGAGUGGUAUUUUGGGAAAAUAACUCGGCGCGACUCAGAGAGGCUCCUUUUGAGUUUACAGAACCGACGAGGCACCUUCCUGGUCCGAGAGAGCGAGACCACCAAGGGAGCCUACUGCCUGUCCGUGUUGGACUACGACAACACCAAAGGUCUCAACGUCAAACAUUACAAGAUACGCAAGCUAGACAGCGGUGGUUUCUACAUCACCUCACGCACCCAGUUCAGUAGCCUGCAGCAGCUGGUCUACCACUAUCAUAAGCAUGCGGAUGGACUGUGCCACUGUCUGACAGAGGUGUGUCCGAUGCUGAAGCCUCAGACCCAGGGCCUGGCCCGCGACGCCUGGGAGAUAUCCCGGGAGUCCCUCCACCUCGACCUCAAACUGGGCCAGGGCUGCUUCGGAGAGGUCUGGAUGGGGACAUGGAAUGGUACAACGCGGGUGGCCAUCAAGACCCUGAAGACGGGUACUAUGUCCCCAGAGGCCUUCCUCCAGGAAGCCCAGGUCAUGAAGAAGCUGAGACACGAGAAACUGGUGCAGCUCUACGCCGUGGUGUCUGAGGAACCCAUCUACAUCGUCACCGAGUACAUGAGCCAAGGUAGCCUGUUGGACUUCCUGAAAGGCGACACGGGCAAGCUGCUACGUCUACCCCAGUUAGUGGAUAUGGCAUCUCAGAUUGCAGCAGGGAUGGCAUACGUAGAGAGAAUGAACUACGUCCACAGAGACCUCAGGGCUGCCAACAUCCUGGUCGGGGACAACCUGGCAUGUAAAGUGGCCGACUUCGGUUUGGCCCGCCUCAUAGAGGACAACGAGUACACUGCUAGACAGGGUGCCAAGUUCCCCAUUAAGUGGACAGCGCCAGAGGCUGCACUCUACGGACGCUUCACCAUCAAGUCAGAUGUCUGGUCAUUCGGGGUCCUGCUCACUGAACUGGCCACUAAAGGCAGAGUCCCAUAUCCAGGAAUGGUGAACCGGGAGGUGUUGGAUCAGGUGGAGCGUGGCUACCGGAUGCCCUGCCCUGCUGAGUGCCCAGCCUCCAUGCACGAGCUCAUGCUCACCUGCUGGAGGAAGGACGCAGAGGAGCGGCCCACCUUCGAGUACCUGCAGGGCUUCCUGGAGGACUACUUCACCUCCACUGAGCCCCAGUACCAGCCUGGGGAGAACCUAUAAGGCUCAGGGACAUCUCCCUCCACCCCGGGCCUUAUGGAUGGACUUUCCCACCCCCCUGCCCAAUGCCCACCCAUGUCGCUGCCUACCCCUCACUGCACCCUGAUCAUGGGUCAGAUCUGCAUAAAGCGUAAUUCAGUGUAAAGACACAGAGACGUGACAGUCCGGCGUCCAUUGUGACAUAGCUUCGUGGCUCUGAGACCAGCGCCAGCGGGGGACGCUCAGCCCGGACCACCCAAAGUCCUCUAUUCAUUUGAAUGUGUUGACAGUUGGAGAAAUAGCUUGAGCCGCGCUGAGAAUUUGAAAAAGUAUGAAAGCCAACGGUCCAAUAUUCUAGAACACUGCUGUGCGUACAAGCACACGUUUUGGACUCUGAUAGGCGCUUAAGUGCCGUGAAGGGCAUCACUGGUAUGUUGAUGCCCUUCACCCACCAGGAAUAAGAGUACAGAGGAGUUAAUUGAGUAUUCAGGCGAACUGCUGUAGACUUUAGAUUACAGUUAAAGUUAUGGAAGACCUUACACAAACAAGAUGACUUGUGACAUAGCAAUAAGAAAGUAGUGCUGUCCAUGGUUUGCUUUGAAAUCAAGAACUUCCUCACUGAGAAACAAACCGUGUUCAACAAUCUUGAUCAAUAUGAUGAUGACAUGUAUACUUAAAAAUGAGUCCCAGUAUCUAAUAAUAGAAGUACGAAAUGUGUGGUAGUGAUGUAGGUUUAAAUAUUUCUAAAAUUAACGACUGACGAUCCUGUUAUUUGAUUGUUUAUUUUCUCUAAAUCUGCCAUUUUCUUUCACCCAACAUGAUGCAAUGACACAGACGAACUUUCGGGGGAAAUGCCAGAUGGGCCAGUCAAUUGUUUUGCCCAGUGGGCCUAUCUAACUGGUUUCUUGCGCAAAAUGAUCAUCUGGCCAAUAAUGGGGGCAUUGAGGAACAAAAUGUGCCAGUAUGGUGGCCUCAAGUUUUAAAUAAAAAAUGUAGAAAUGCCAGGGCUGAUUUGUGGCCCCUUGAUACUGUAAAUAGGGUACAUUUACACCCCCCCUCCUCCCACAUUGACAUAUUUUGGGGGGUUGAAUAAUCUGUAUGUAGCUUUUUGUCCUUUGAGUGAGGGGUAGACAAACGUCAAAACAUGGCAAAAUGAUGCUUAGGCUUUUUUGUAUAUUUCAAUUGAAUAUUUGAACCUGUCGGUACAUUGACAAGGACAACUUGAGGCCAUUGUAUUGCAGGUAAAGCAUUGGAAUGUAUUCUAAUAUAUUUUGAAAUAUGGACCACAACGUUUCUUUCAAAUCUGUUGGACAAAAUAGGGGACACAUUUUUCAAAUAAUUUCAAGCCAAGGACUAGAUUCUUGAUUCCCUGUCCAACAUGUUUUAUAAACCUAUGCAGUUUCUGGUUUACCAUUCCUAAAAUAUUUAUCAUUUGAAAUGGACAAUAUCAGAAGAUUGAGGAUUUUGUAAGUAGUAUUAUUUUCUCUUUUUUAUGUGUAUCAGAAUUGGAUUGAAAUGGGUAUUGUGCCACUUUAUGUUAUCUUUAAAUGUGCAAUAAAUUAUAUUUCAAGAGCG